UAGGGAAUAUUGCAAAAUGGGCGAAAGCCCGAUGCAGCAACGCCGCGUGGGCGAUGAAGGCCUUCGGGUCGUAAAGCCCUUUUUGGGGGGAUGAGGAAGGACAGUACCCUCAGAAUAAGCCUCGGCUAACUACGUGCCAGCAGCCGCGGUAAAACGUAGGAGGCGAGCGUUAUCCGGAUUCACUGGGCGUAAAGCGCGUGCAGGCGGAUUGGAGAGUUGGAUGUGAAAGCUCCCGGCUUAACUGGGAGAGGUCGUUCAAUACUUCCAGUCUUGAGUGCAGUAGAGGGAAGUGGAAUUCCGGGUGUAGUGGUGAAAUGCGUAGAUAUCCGGAGGAACACCAGUGGCGAAAGCGGCUUCCUGGACUGUAACUGACGCUCAGACGCGAAAGCUAGGGUAGCAAACG
Molecule: ribosomal RNA, 403 nt
Filed under: uncultured bacterium
Lineage: Bacteria
Description: bacterial SSU rRNA
Rfam family: Bacterial small subunit ribosomal RNA
Source: RNAcentral